RNAcentral lists this ribosomal RNA (272 nucleotides) under uncultured Staphylococcus sp. RNAcentral's name for it is "partial 16S ribosomal RNA". It matches the Rfam family "Bacterial small subunit ribosomal RNA", at positions 90 to 355 of the family's 1533-position model. Lineage: Bacteria; Bacillati; Bacillota; Bacilli; Caryophanales; Staphylococcaceae. The record is from RNAcentral.
CGUUAGCGGCGGACGGGUGAGUAACACGUGGGUAACCUACCUAUAAGACUGGGAUAACUUCGGGAAACCGGAGCUAAUACCGGAUAAUAUUUAGAACCGCAUGGUUCGAUAGUGAAAGAUGGUUUUGCUAUCACUUAUAGAUGGACCCGCGCCGUAUUAGCUAGUUGGUAAGGUAACGGCUUACCAAGGCGACGAUACGUAGCCGACCUGAGAGAGUGAUCGGCCACACUGGAACUGAGACACGGUCCAGACUCCUACGGGAGGCAGCAGUA